CCUGGCUCAGGAUGAACGCUAGCUACAGGCUUAACACAUGCAAGUCGAGGGGCAGCAUUUCAGUUUGCUUGCAAACUGGAGAUGGCGACCGGCGCACGGGUGAGUAACACGUAUCCAACCUGCCGAUAACUCGGGGAUAGCCUUUCGAAAGAAAGAUUAAUACCCGAUGGCAUAAUUAGACCGCAUGGUCUUAUUAUUAAAGAAUUUCGGUUAUCGAUGGGGAUGCGUUCCAUUAGGCAGUUGGUGAGGUAACGGCUCACCAAACCUUCGAUGGAUAGGGGUUCUGAGAGGAAGGUCCCCCACAUUGGAACUGAGACACGGUCCAAACUCCUACGGGAGGCAGCAGUGAGGAAUAUUGGUCAAUGGACGAGAGUCUGAACCAGCCAAGUAGCGUGAAGGAUGACUGCCCUAUGGGUUGUAAACUUCUUUUAUAUGGGAAUAAAGUUUUCCACGUGUGGAAUUUUGUAUGUACCAUAUGAAUAAGGAUCGGCUAACUCCGUGCCAGCAGCCGCGGUAAUACGGAGGAUCCGAGCGUUAUCCGGAUUUAUUGGGUUUAAAGGGAGCGUAGGUGGACAGUUAAGUCAGUUGUGAAAGUUUGCGGCUCAACCGUAAAAUUGCAGUUGAUACUGGCUGUCUUGAGUACAGUAGAGGUGGGCGGAAUUCGUGGUGUAGCGGUGAAAUGCUAGAUAUCACGAAGAACUCCGAUUGCGAAGGCAGCUCACUGGACUGCAACUGACACUGAUGCUCGAAAGUGUGGGUAUCAAACAGGAUUAGAUACCCUGGUAGUCCACACAGUAAACGAUGAAUACUCGCUGUUUGCGAUAUACAGUAAGCGGCCAAGCGAAAGCAUUAAGUAUUCCACCUGGGGAGUACGCCGGCAACGGUGAAACUCAAAGGAAUUGACGGGGGCCCGCACAAGCGGAGGAACAUGUGGUUUAAUUCGAUGAUACGCGAGGAACCUUACCCGGGCUUAAAUUGCAUUUGAAUAUAUUGGAAACAGUAUAGCCGUAAGGCAAAUGUGAAGGUGCUGCAUGGUUGUCGUCAGCUCGUGCCGUGAGGUGUCGGCUUAAGUGCCAUAACGAGCGCAACCCUUAUCUUUAGUUACUAACAGGUCAUGCUGAGGACUCUAGAGAGACUGCCGUCGUAAGAUGUGAGGAAGGUGGGGAUGACGUCAAAUCAGCACGGCCCUUACGUCCGGGGCUACACACGUGUUACAAUGGGGGGUACAGAAGGCAGCUACCUGGUGACAGGAUGCUAAUCCCAAAAGCCUCUCUCAGUUCGGAUCGAAGUCUGCAACCCGACUUCGUGAAGCUGGAUUCGCUAGUAAUCGCGCAUCAGCCAUGGCGCGGUGAAUACGUUCCCGGGCCUUGUACACACCGCCC
This 1382-nucleotide ribosomal RNA is filed under the name uncultured bacterium. RNAcentral's name for it is "bacterial SSU rRNA". It matches the Rfam family "Bacterial small subunit ribosomal RNA", at positions 18 to 1395 of the family's 1533-position model. The record is from RNAcentral.